Molecule: non-coding RNA, 107 nt
Organism: Ricinus communis (castor bean)
Lineage: Eukaryota; Viridiplantae; Streptophyta; Magnoliopsida; Malpighiales; Euphorbiaceae
Source: Rfam
GUAUCUAUGGUGUUGGCAUUACAAUAGAAGUGAUUUGAAGCGAUCCCAUAAUUCAUGAAAGGACUCAAUAUCCUUUUGAUAAAAAUAGAAAUUUCAACUCUUAAUUC